CUCCUACGGGAGGCAGCAGUGGGGAAUAUUGCACAAUGGGCGCAAGCCUGAUGCAGCAACGCCGUGUGAGUGAAGAAGGUUUCGGAUCGUAAAACUCUGUCCUAAGGGAAGAAACAAAUGACGGUACCUUAGGAGGAAGCCCCGGCUAACUACGUGCCAGCAGCCGCGGUAAUACGUAGGGGGCAAGCGUUAUCCGGAAUCACUGGGCGUAAAGGGUGCGUAGGCGGCUUAGCAAGCCAGGGGUGAAAGGCAUUGGCUCAACCAAUGUAAGCCUUUGGAACUGUUAAGCUUGAGUGCAGGAGAGGUAAGUGGAAUUCCUAGUGUAGAGGUGAAAAUUCGUAGAUAUUAGGAGGAACACCAGUGGCGAAGGCGACUUACUGGACUGUAACUGACGCUGAUGCACGAAAGCGUGGGUAGCGAACAGGAUUAGAUACCCUGGGAG
Molecule: ribosomal RNA, 442 nt
Filed under: uncultured bacterium
Lineage: Bacteria
Description: bacterial SSU rRNA
Rfam family: Bacterial small subunit ribosomal RNA
Source: RNAcentral